UUGAGUUCUAAUAGAUUGUUGAUUGAGAUUUUAGGGGCCUGGAACCGAGGUGUCAGCAGUAAUUUAAAGAAGGUAAAUACUGGAACAUUCAUAAUCAGAAGUUGUUAUUUUUUAAAAUGCCAGCCUUCUGGAGAAUGCCUUUUCUUUUGUAGUCUCUGUCAAACAUUGGAAGGAAAUUUCAGUUCAGAGAUGUCUGAAGUGGGACUCAGUGGUCAGCAGAAACCUGAUGACAGCAGAGUGGUCCAGCUUGUUUCUCCUGGGGGCGUUCUUCCGAGGAUAUUUGGGCUGCCUCCAGAAUCGCAGUGUCUUGGGCCGCCGCAAGGAUGACAACGAAGCAAGAAGGCCCCUGCCAAAUGCAGGUCCCCAGGUCUUAGACUUCUCAGCCUCC
Molecule: long non-coding RNA, 388 nt
Filed under: Homo sapiens (human)
Lineage: Eukaryota; Metazoa; Chordata; Mammalia; Primates; Hominidae
Description: HSALNT0321464
Source: RNAcentral